RNAcentral lists this ribosomal RNA (433 nucleotides) under uncultured bacterium. Its description in RNAcentral is "partial 16S ribosomal RNA". It matches the Rfam family "Bacterial small subunit ribosomal RNA", at positions 29 to 507 of the family's 1533-position model. The record is from RNAcentral.
AGCGAACGCUGGCGGCAGGCUUAACACAUGCAAGUCGAGCGGGCCCUUCGGGGUCAGCGGCGGACGGGUGAGUAACGCGUGGGAACGUGCCUUCUGGUCUGGAAUAACCCUGGGAAACUAGGGCUAAUACCGGAUACGCCCUUUUGGGGAAAGGUUUACUGCCGGAAGAUCGGCCCGCGUCUGAUUAGCUUGUUGGUGGGGUAACGGCCUACCAAGGCGACGAUCAGUAGCUGGUCUGAGAGGAUGAUCAGCCACACUGGGACUGAGACACGGCCCAGACUCCUACGGGAGGCAGCAGUGGGGAAUAUUGGACAAUGGGCGCAAGCCUGAUCCAGCCAUGCCGCGUGAGUGAUGAAGGCCUUAGGGUUGUAAAGCUCUUUUAUCCGGGACGAUAAUGACGGUACCGGAGGAAUAAGCCCCGGCUAACUUCGUG